This 559-nucleotide long non-coding RNA is filed under the name Homo sapiens (human). RNAcentral describes it as "HSALNT0057688". The record is from RNAcentral. Lineage: Eukaryota; Metazoa; Chordata; Mammalia; Primates; Hominidae.
CUCCCAGGUUCAAGCAAUUCUCCUCCCUCAGCCUCCUGAGUAGCUGGGAUUACACGCAUGCACCACUACGCCCGGCUAAUAUUGUAUUUUUAGUAGAGACGGGGUUUCUCCAUGUUGAGGCUGGUCUCGAACUCCUGACUUCAGGUGAUCCGCCCGCCUCGGCCUCCCAAAGUGUUGGGAUUACAGCCAUGAGCCACUGCGCGCGGCCACAGAAUUAUUUCUUGAUUCACUAAAACCCUGCCUAAUGUUUUAGUAUCUACUUCAUAUAUAUUCUUCCCAAAUCACUCCAGUCCUCUGAACAUAUUAAGUCUUAUCCACUUAAGAACAUAUGGCUGUGUGGUGGCUCACACCUGUAAUCCCAGCAUUAUGGGAGGCCAAGGCAGAGGAUCACUUGAGCCCAGGAGUUUGAGACCAGCCUGGGCAACAUGGUGGGGCAUGCCUGUGGUCCAGCUACUUGGAGGGCUGAGGUGGGAGGAUCACUUGAGCCUGGGAAGUCAAGGCUACAGUGAGCUGUGAUUAUGCUACUGCACUCCGGCCUAGGCAACAAAGCAAGACACAC